RNAcentral lists this non-coding RNA (82 nucleotides) under Chromera velia. The record is from RNAcentral. Lineage: Eukaryota; Chromeraceae.
UCUCGUUGUAUUCUCUUUCUUUUUGCUUCUUUUUUCUUUUUUUCUCCUGAUUCGAUUGGUCGGUUUUGACAACAAAAAGGAA